CCCUUGACCACACCACCAGGCCCCUCCCUCUAUAAAAGCCAGGGAUGAAGGUCGGGACUUGGUGGAGAAUAACCGCCGGGGAGAGCUGCACGGCGUUGCUGUCGUUGGUCCACUUGGUCUCCGUCUCCCUGCCAGGUCACAAGGCCAAGGCUAAUAAAGCAACCUGCUGGCGUAUAACAUUAAGAUUCUGCAAUGCUACUGCCUGGUUUCUGUUGGAAGGAGGAGGAUUUGCUAACCCACUUUGACCAUGGUGUUCUCAUUUUGCACCAUCAAGGAUAUCAAACGAGCACUUUGCCAAGCAUUGUGCAAAGAGGUCUUCUACCCUUGUUUCAUUAAUUCUCACUACAAACCUAAGACGAAGGUCCUUCUCUGGGCAUCUGAUUUCUCCUGGUUCUCUGCUAAACCCCAAGGAGGGUCCUACAGGUGUCUUUCUUGCUGAGGAAACAGCAUCCUUUCUUCACGUCCUGAUUGCAUUCUGAGAUGGACUGACCCCAUCCCCACAGGCACAGAAGUGCUGAACGCUGUCUCGGUUCCAAUCUGCAGAGGCCAGUCCUGAUGAGCCCCCCACCCAUUGUUCAGUCUGCAACAGCCUUUUUCCCUUGGGCUGCUUUUCUUUUGUUGCUAUUCCUUUUCCUUGGGUCUCUGGAUUCAUUUUACUACUUUGUCUUUCUCCCAGUCUCCUGACUGAUGUUUCAACCAUCAUUAAUGGGCUUACACACACACACACACACACACACACACAUACAUAAUUCACAUGAAGAAAACGUAUGUGCAGUAGACACUGAGGAAAGGCCUAGAAAAUGCAGGGUGUUUGUCCAUCCUGUGAAUGGAUUGUUAUUUAGAAGAGCCACUUUUUUUCUCUUAACCAAAGAACACUUAGUUACUGCAUAAUGAAUAAUUAAAAAGCCUCUUCUCACGAUCAGAGUCGGGAGUUUUCUAUAUUCAAGUUAAUCCAGCUUCUAUGGCAAGGGAAAAUCCUUAUAAAGGAUAAUACCAACCCAGAAUUUCUAGUUAAUAUGGAAUCUCAAUUUCUUUUAUUGAGUGGUUCAGAAAUGAUUAUUCUUUCUCUUAACUGGGGAACUGAGAAAUGUCGAGGCAACUGCAGUAACGACCUUGGAGUUUUCUUGAGGCCAAGAGGCUUCACCAUGGCCACCCAUGUCCAAGACCAUUUUGGAGGUAAUGUGAUACAGUCCCUCAGUAAAUGACUGAAGAGGACAUGAAUAAGGACAAAGGGAAACUUAGCCUGGAACCUGGUGCUUUUGCUUAAUUAAAAUUACUGCUUUCUUACUUCUUUGAGAGUUCAAAGACCUACAGUGAUUUCCCUAAAUGGUUUCAGCUAACCUGAUGCAGAAGGAAAGAUGAGAAUUAAUGGCACCCUCACUGGAAAGUUUAAAGUCCAAUUAGCUCUCAGGCUGGCUGAGUUUUGCUAAUUCAUCGAUGGGAUUCUGGGAAGGCGGGCAGGCCAAGCAGGCAGUAAGAGCUAAGUUAGAAUGAAGAGCGCAGGGAAAAGCAACCAACCAAGGUGAUUUGUUCCACAUUUUGACCCACCUGGCACAUAAGCCAUUACUGAUUUGUUACCUUGUUAACAGGCUCCAUGAGAAACUUGGAAUAGUGGCCCACUUACAGUUCAGAUUAAUUUUCUGUAACUUGGGAGGCUGUAAGUAAAUGGAUUAAAGAACCAUUUGAUCUUCAAAAAGAGGUUUAUGGUUGCUUUGAUGAUUAAGUACCCAGGGGACACAAUGGAUUAUCAUGGAUAAUGGAUUUGGAGAAGUGGGAUAUUAAAAAUGAACUCUCCUCCCUGGCCAUAUAGAGAUGGGGCUAAGAGGCUAUGUGGAGACUAGGUUAACUCUGUCAUCCACUUGAAUGAACAGUAGAGAUAAGCAGAAUAAACUCAGUCAACCCAAGGGAACCCACUUUUCUCACUCCUGGGAGAAAAAUUGAGUCUUGUUGGUGAAGCUUUGAAGUGUGACCUCCUUUAUCUCAAGAUAAAUUCUUGGGAAAGUACCUUUGUAAGUAUACAUUCGGAGCUCAAAAGCACCCUAAGAAAAAUGGCCGUUGUUUACCAGAGGUUUACUUCUGCCCAGUGAGCUGUAUGCCAAAAUCCCAACCCAUGGAGAAGAGCUCCCGUACAGGGGUCUCUCUGGGCUACUUCUAUCUCCAUCCUACUCUGAGGCCACAUGUACUCUGCGUUCUCAGUUGGGAAGAAUCAUUGGGGAUGAUGAAAUGUCCUAAAACAAGGACGGUUUGGGGUGGCAGAGACUAUAUACAUAUCAUAAAUACAUAGAGUAUGGAUGAUUAAUAUGUAUUAUGUGCCCCUUGGGUGAUCUCUGAAAGCCUAAUUAAUAAACCCAAAAUAUCAUUGAUGCCAACAUAUAUCACCAGCCAAUUUAAGGCAGAAGUGGAAAUUCAGUAACUUUAACAGAACCGGCAGAGUAACAAAUAAGGAAAUUAAGCCAGGUGUGAGUGCAUGCAUAUUCAUUGGGUGUCGUGGGGGUUGUGUUUACCCAGAGAGCAUUGCUUCUGAUAAGGGGUCCAGGCUACACAGCUCUAGCUAAAUGUUGCUGUGUUGAAAUGUAGAGUCUGGUGUUACCAGAUUUCCCCAUUUUUCCAGAGAAAGUAGAAAUGUGUAUUUUUUUUAGUUGUUUUGAA
Felis catus (domestic cat) is the source of this 2649-nucleotide long non-coding RNA. RefSeq lists it as uncharacterized. The transcript has 5 exons. The record is from RefSeq and is a predicted model, not a curated record. NCBI's taxonomy places the organism in Eukaryota, Metazoa, Chordata, Mammalia, Carnivora, Felidae.